GAUGAACGCUGGCGGCGUGCCUAAUACAUGCAAGUCGAGCGAACAGAUAAGGAGCUUGCUCCUUUGACGUUAGCGGCGGACGGGUGAGUAACACGUGGAUAACCUACCUAUAAGACUGGGAUAACUUCGGGAAACCGGAGCUAAUACCGGAUAACAUAUUGAACCGCAUGGUUCAAUAGUGAAAGGCGGCUUUGCUGUCACUUAUAGAUGGAUCCGCGCCGUAUUAGCUAGUUGGUAAGGUAACGGCUUACCAAGGCAACGAUACGUAGCCGACCUGAGAGGGUGAUAGGCCACACUGGAACUGAGCCACGGUCCAGACUACUACGGGAGGCAGCAGUAGGGAAUCUUCCGCAAUGGGCGAAAGCCUGACGGAGCAACGCCGCGUGAGUGAUGAAGGUCUUCGGAUCGUAAAACUCUGUUAUCAGGGAAGAACAAAUGUGUAAGUAACUGUGCACAUCUUGACGGUACCUGAUCAGAAAGCCACGGCUAACUACGUG
This 497-nucleotide ribosomal RNA is filed under the name uncultured bacterium. RNAcentral describes it as "partial 16S ribosomal RNA". It matches the Rfam family "Bacterial small subunit ribosomal RNA", at positions 28 to 507 of the family's 1533-position model. The record is from RNAcentral.